UGUACUUUAAUACCGUAUAAGAUGCUUACAAGUUGGGAUAUUUAUUUUGUAUGGGUGAAGGAAUAAAGUAUUAACAUAUUAAAUUACAUACUGCUUUGUAGUUUUCCAUAUACUUAAGAAAAAAAAAACACAUUUUAAAAAAAUCUAGCAUGACAUACUGGACUAAAUUAUGUUCAUACACACACACACACACACACACACACACAUAUAUAUAUAUAUAUAUAUAUAUAUAUAUUUCAAAUUAUGUCUCAAUCCUAAAAUUCUAGGUGAUGCAAAAUAGCCAUAGGAGGAGCUGUAGGAUUCAUUUUUUGUUAUUUUAUUCAUAUGUAAUGGAGGUUGCUUAAAUGAUUAAUGGAAUAGCAGUGUAAGCAUAAUUGACUAUUGUCCUUUAUUAAUUAAAUAUUCAAGAAUUUACUAUGUAUAUAAUUUACAUUUAAAAUAUGCUUUUAAAAUUUAGAUUCAUAGCAAUGGAAUUGUACGUAUACUUGUGAUAGACUUGUGAUAGUAUAAUUAGUAUAAGUAUAACAGAUGGUCACUGGCAUUGUUUUAAUCUCAUGUAACACCAGGCAAUUUUUCAAGUAACUCACUCUAAAGGACAUUAUUAAGCAAUUUAAACAAAGUCCCUGAAAUCAAGAUUGUUUAGGUUUUGAGGCUUGGAUUGUUCACAUGGUUACAAUUGAUUAAAGUUGCCUGAUAAUACAUGGGCUUUACAGUUAAAAGACGGAAGAAAGGCAGAUAAAGGCUUCUGUUGAAACACGAUACAGCAGUUCGAUGCAUUACAGACUGAAUGGAUAGAGCAGGCAGUUUUGUAGAGAUUUAGAAUUAGAGAAAACCCCUCGGUUCCCUUAGUGAACUCCAUUAUGAGUUAGAUUCUGAAAAAGGCUGUCUUUAGUGGAUGAAUAAUUCUGUUCUAAUCAAGACUCAAAAGGCAGUAACCAUGUAUGAAGAUAUUUCCAGAAAUUGAAGAGCAUGAACAGUUAUACUGCAGUUGCCAUGAACUUGAUACUCUGUAUAGUGGUGGUAUGCAACCUCUGUAAUGCUUUUAAGAAGCCACGCAAUAUUGUUCAGUUUACAGAUCUAGAUCCUUCUACCUGUAAAGACUGUAAUAACCUCCUAUUUUGAAAGCCUCAAUGCGCUAUUAUGAAUUACAGUACAGUACUACAGGGCUACGCAGUACUGUGUUCAGAGGAAUCAUCCUAUGCUCUGCUUUCAGACUGUGAAAAGGCUUGGAAUUACCAGUGGACUUUCUUUUAAAGAACUCCCACAUAAGGCCUAAAAUAAAAUAUUUCCAGGAUACGGUUUCCCGACCCUGCAGAAUCCCCCCUGAUCCAAACAAUCUUAACGGACAAAAAAAAAAAAAAAAAGAAAACGCAGAUUGAAAAUCCUGCGAGACUCAUCCACCAAUGAAGAAAACGCUGGAAAACCCACAGCACCAAAGAUCACUAUUCAGAAAUUUCCCAUGGAGUUUCUUCAGCAGCAAAGGGGAGAAGGUACAGCCGCAUACAAUUCAGCUGGGGGUUUUCAAGAACAAAUCAACAGUGAUAGAUCUCUUCUGUGUUUAAAAGAAAAUUGUAAAGGUACCUUUCCAUCCAUGCGUCUUAAAAAUAACAUAAUCCAGCCCUUCUGCAUAAGCAUUCUGUAUAAAUCAGCAUCAUCUUUUGGGUCCCAAUCAAAUCCCUAUUGAAGUGAGUAAUGUGAUCCUCUCUACACUCUGGAACCUAUUAUUUUGGAAUCCUGCAGGAUUUGUUUGUCAAGUCAAUGUAAAUCUGACUGCAGUCCUGGCACAGUCAUGUGAUUUGUUAUUUUCUAAGUUUAUAACUAGUGUUUAAGAACAACAAAAGCAAGACUUUGCUUAUCCCACCAGUGCCAUGCUGAAUUGUGAAGUAGUUGAACAGUAAAUACAAUGGCAAAGCUAUCACACAGAGCUGUCUCAAAAGAAAAUGUGCACUUAUCAAAGAAGCUGAAAGUUUACCAAAACCAACACAAAAAGAGUGAAGUGAAAAAUUCAGAAAUUGCAAGGCAAACUGUUUCAGACAUUAUGAAAAGAAAAUAUGUCUACUUAAAGCAACAUGGAGAAAACCUGAAUGCCAGCAGAAAAUGCCUAAAACCAGCAUGCAGGUUUGACCAAGUGAACGUUCUUUUAUGGGAAUGGUUUAAACAGGCUUGUGCAAAAUACUUCACACCAAAGCACUUGAAUUUCCGAACCAUCUGAAUAUUGAAGAUUUCAAGGCUUCUAAUGGAUGGUUAGGGAGUUGGCGAUUACGUUAUGCUGUUAAAUUUAGUAAGCUUUCCAGUGAUUCAGCCAAUGUAAAAAGUGUAGAGAAAAGUGUAAAGUAUUGCAUGCGGGCAAUAAAAAUGUGCAUUAUAAAUAUCACAUGGGAGAUAGUGAAAUUGAAGAAGGGAACUAUGAAAAAGACCUAGGAGUUUAUGUUGACUCAGAAAUGUUUUUAUCUAGACAAUGUAGAGAAGCUAUAAAAAAGGCUAACAAGAUGCUUGGAUAUAUUGUGAGAAGUGUUGAAUUUAAAUCAAGGGAAGUAAUGUUAAAACUCUACAAUGCAUUAGUAAGACCUCACCUAGAAUAUUGUGUUCAGUUCUGGUCACCUCGUUACAAAAAGGAUAUUGCUGCUCUAGAAAGAGUGCAAAGAAGAGCAACCAGAAUUAUCCUGGGUUUAAAAGGCAUGUCGUAUGCAGACAGGCUAAUAGAAUUGAAUCUGUUCAGUCUUGAACAAAGAAGACUACGCAGUGAUCUGAUUGAAACAUUCAAAAUCCUAAAAGGUAUAGACAAUGUCAGCCCGGGGGACUUCUUUGACCUGAAAAAAGAAACAAGGGACCAGGGGUCACAAAUGGAGAUUAGAUAAAGGGGCAUUCAGAACAGAAAAUAGGAGGCACUUUUUUACACAAAGAAUUGUGAGGGUCUGCAACCAAUUCCCCAGUAAUGUUGUUGAAGCUGACACCCUGGGAUCCUUCAAGAAGCUGCUUGAUGAGAUUCUGGGAUCAAUAAGUUACUAACAACCAAACGAGCAAGGUGGGCUGAAUGGCCUCCUCUCGUUUUUAAACUUUCUUAUGUUCUUAAAUUUACAGAGCGUGUCUGAAUUCAAAGCAAAACUGGCUGAAUGUUGUGCUGGUGAUGACGUUGGUGACAUUUUUAAUUGUGAUGAAACUUGCAAAGGAAAGGCUAACUCUAAAGAGAAGUUAAAGCCACUUGUUAUAGGAAAAGCUGCAAGGCUGUGUUUUGAACACAUUGAUCCAGCAACACUACCUGUCACCUGGACAGGCAAUAAAAAAGCCUGGAUCACAACUGUACUUUUUUGUGCCUGGCUGAAGGAGCUGAACAAAACGAUGCACACAAGGAAACGUAACAUUUUACUUCUGCUUGAGAAUGCAACCUCUCAUUGCACUGAGCAAUGUGCAAAUGCUGCUUCUGCCUCCAAACACUACCAGCUUUUUACAGCCUCUGGAGCAGGGCAUUAUUCAGAAUGUGAAGCUGCUUUACCGUACGCAUAUAAUGAGCAACUUGGUAGCAAAGAUUAACAAUUCAUCUGCAACCGAGCUGUCAAAGUCCAUCACAGUUCUGGAUGCCAUCUACUGGAUUGAACCAGCAUAGUCCCAGGUAAAGGAUUCCACCAUCACAAAGUGCUUUGCCAAAGCUGGAUUGGGGACAGACUGUGAGAUAAUCAAAACCAAACCUUCAGAGAGUAAUGACAAUGAGACUGGGCUGCAACAGCUUAUUGAGCAUGUUAGAGUUCAGGUCACAAGUAUGUGAACUUUGAUUAAAGUUUUCUAACAGAGGAAACCUUUGGGAAUGACUGGGAACAGCAGAUUUUUGCUCAACAUCUGAAUCCAGCCACCACCAAUGCGUCGACUUUUAAAGAGCAAUCAGAUGUUGAAGAAACUUCAGCUUCACCUGUAUCACUCAGCGAGGCACUGAAGACCCUCGAGCGUAUGAGGAAAACAGCAUUUUAAUGGACUGACUGAACUGUCUGAAAAAAACAUUGUGACCAGAAAACUGAAAGCUGCAGACAACAAUCUUUUGACUUCAAAAACAAAAUUUAAAAAAAAAACCCUUGCACCAUGUUUUUAUUAACAGUACUGUUUCUUUUUUCUUUUAAAUGAAAGGUAUUUUAGUGCAGAAUGCAGUGUUAAAACCCCAUCCCUGCAAAAAUAUGUAAUGAAUGUAGCCAGCGAUACUUGAUUAAUUUGCCAAUUUGGGGCUGGAGAGCUGUGUUUUAAGGAGCUCAAAGCCACUAGGACGAAUAGACUUUGUUAAGAGGAGCAGUUAAAUUCCCCAUUGGUAAAAGAUUUCGGUUUUGCUUGAAUUAGUGUAUUUAGAGAGAGUAGUGUUCCUGGUGCAGGACCUCCCGUUGCAGGGGGAGUAGCGCACAGCCAAACUUGGCAACCUUCUAUUUAGUUAGCUUAACAGAAUUAGCUGAAGUAUCGUCCCAAAUGAUACCAUCAUUGGUACUUCGUUGGUGGUGCGUGGUAUUGCUCCUGCACCGCUUUUGUUAUUUUUGCAGCAAAAGUAAUAAAGCCUGGACACCUGUGCCUGCAUGUUGACUCCAAUCCCUCUGUCUCUCUCACUCCCUCACAGCAGACUCAUACACCCCUUUUUUUUUUUUUUUACUGUACUUUGCAAAAUAUUGAAAUGCAAGAUGCAUGCAUAUCAGAUACAAAUUGUUGUGUUUAAAGUUUUGCUGAGUAAUUAUUUUUAUAACAUUCCAAAUGUGCCAUUUUUGUUUGCUUUGAUUUAACAUUGAAAUGACUGUACAUUAUUCUUUUAAAUUAAAAUAUGUAUACAGUAUGUAUACAGUAAAAUCCAGGUUUACAAGUAAAAUUAAAAUGCAAUUCCAGAAUUACAGGCUAUAUCUGGAUGGCAUUGAAAGCAUUCAAAUAGUGUAAUUUUACUUUUUUUUAGGUACAGUAUUUGAUGUUUUACAGUACCUCUAUAAACCAGCACACAGUAUAAUCCGGAGCAAUUUUCCAGUGCCACGUGAUUAGACAGGCUUUACUCUAUCUAGUGCUUAUUGAGUUCAGUUAGUUGGUUCUAGAGGUUCUAGAGAGUACCAGAAGCUGGUGUUAUAAGGGGCAUAUAUCUGAAUGUUAAACUUUUUUCAAUGUUCAUGCAGUGUCUGUACUUUUGUAUUUACAGGGAAUGUCAAUGACAAAGGAAAUAAGAAUAGUGUACAAUUGCCAUAUGUACUUGCAGCAAACUUAAAAAAAAAGAUGCUUAUUGGUGUUACAGGCUGCAGCUUUUUGUUCAAUAGUGUACUAAGUGGGAGUCUCAUUUGGGAAUUUAAGAUAAAUGUAAAACAUCUGUUGCAAUCUCAAAUAAAUAUGUCAUUUUUGGUUCUAGUA
Long non-coding RNA from Acipenser ruthenus (sterlet), 5352 nucleotides. RefSeq lists it as uncharacterized. The transcript is spliced from 3 exons. The record is from RefSeq and is a predicted model, not a curated record. Lineage: Eukaryota; Metazoa; Chordata; Actinopteri; Acipenseriformes; Acipenseridae.